AAUUGAUUAUUACGAGCAAUAGCGAAGUAAACAAGUUAAUGUCUGGAAGUAAUACUUCUUUUCGAACAAUAACUCUGCUUUGUUCGGAAAGACCAUGUCACGCCUUUUACGAACUUUGGUUUGGUAUUCUACAAAGUUUAUUUUUAAAUAAACUCUUAGUUUGAUACUCCAACAUGCUUUUUCUGCUUUACUUUCAUUUGGAAUCUAUUCUAUACAUUUGAGAAAGUAUAAGGGAAAAAUUGAAUCUAUGGCUGGUUUAUUUCAACUUCAAUAUAGUGGUAUUUGGCGCGAAUUAAACAUUCAGGAGUGACGAGUUCAAGUGUUAUGAAAUCCUUUGUUUUUAGGUACUUGAUCCAGUGCCUCCUGUUUUAAUAGUGUUUGAACACCACGAUGCUUUAGUAAGAUAUAUGCAUAAGAGCACUAUAACACUAUUAUCGACAUCUAAUUUUUCUACUUAAGUUUAUUGCGGAGGCCAAAGUAUAUCGGUGAAAAAACUCACAUCAAAUAAAUUAUAUUACGUUGUGAGAGUUUCUUCAUUAUAAAUUAGCCUCCAGUUUCUUGUACUUUCAUUCAGAAGCAACAUAACGCAGCAAAUCGGCUAAUACUAACUGAGUCCUUUUGAUUAUAUUAAUGUGCUGCCAACGUUUUCGAUUCCAUUUUCGUGCGCUUGAAGAGUCUUUAAAGUAUGAAAAGAAAUCCUUGUACAAGUAACUUACUGAUCUGGAACGUGGCUGAAUUUAAGUCGUCUGACAUGCUUGAUUAAUGAACCGACAGUAUGAUUUGUUGUACCGCUUUGCAUAUCUCAAUCAGGUGAGCUCACAAGUCAGGAAAAUAAAAGAAGGAUCGUACGUUGCAACUUUUCGGAUGAAUACUCCUUUAAGACCAAAGUUGAAAGAAAUGGGGGCUAGGCGAUUUCGGGCAGCAUUCAUCAGAAUGGUUUGUGAAGAAACAAUAUAAAUAAAUUUCUUUGUUCCCUGUUUCGCGUAUGCUUUUCCCAGCUGCUUUCGUUACUUUGCAGAACUUGGUAUUACACUUGGUUAGCAAUGCCUGAUAGUAACCCGCGGUUAGGCUAAAUAAUGGAUUUGAGUUUCUGUUUCCAGACCGUACACUUUUAAUGUCCGACUUGAUUUUUUUUUUUUUUUUGAAUCUGAAGUGAAACAACUUCUCCAGAAAGUUGUUCGAUUCCCGAUAGUUUCGCAACUACAGCUAUAGGAUUUUAUGGAACUAGCCAAUAUAUCUCUCUAAUUAUAAGGAUUCGCAAAAUAUAUCUACUGGGUCCUAAAAAAAGAAUAAUUGGGGUGGAUUUUCGCUUUUGAAAGGAUAAUAUUGACAAAACUAGCUUUUCAUCAACCCGAAAAAAUACUAUUUGCCGACUAAAUUAUACUGUCAAGGAAACUGGAUAACUGCCUUUCAAACAUGAUUCAAAUAGUUCUAUUUACUGGGAAAACCGGAGCUGUAGAAUUCUAUUAAGGGAAAUCGAGGUUUGUUAAUGUUGCAAGGAGCACAUGGGCGUCAUGUUGCUGUUGCAAUUUCAAACUGUAAUAUGUACUCCCAUAUUAACAGGGAAAAAAUACAUUUAAGGGAACCAUUAAAACCCCCUUUUUUUUGUAGACACUGCAGUAGGAGUUGUUUUACGCUCAAAACCUGUGUUUGUAUUCUAUAACUAUUACUGAGGAUACGAAGACUUAACAAGGAAAUUGUUUUUACUUUGGAGAGCGUAUACUCAACAAACCACUGGUUACAUGGCUAAUAUUUAGUAAAAAAAAAUAACAUUUAAUGAAGAUCCCUUAUAAAGAGCCUAAGUUAUUUCGUAAUGGAGAUGGAAAUUCAUUUGCAC
Molecule: long non-coding RNA, 1837 nt
Filed under: Schizosaccharomyces pombe (fission yeast)
Lineage: Eukaryota; Fungi; Ascomycota; Schizosaccharomycetes; Schizosaccharomycetales; Schizosaccharomycetaceae
Description: non-coding RNA, heat shock specific
Source: RNAcentral